This 395-nucleotide long non-coding RNA is filed under the name Populus tremula. RNAcentral's name for it is "long non-coding RNA (PTRE_LNC003345)". The record is from RNAcentral. Lineage: Eukaryota; Viridiplantae; Streptophyta; Magnoliopsida; Malpighiales; Salicaceae.
AUAAAAAAAAAAAAAAAAAAAAAAAAAAAAAAGAGGACCGGAACGGUGUCGUUUUGAACGACACUGUUCCUCUUCUUCUUUUCCCCCCCGAACCUGCAACAGAAGAAGAAAACCGUUUUCAAAAAAAAAAAAACCAUCCCGCGCCUCUCUCUCUCUCCUCGCCCCACCACCUUUAGAUAUUGGCCGACCAGCCGUUACACCCGAUGGUCCCCCACGGUUCUGCCCCUAUAAAAGAAAACCGAAAGAAAGAGAAGGGGACCCGAGAGGAAUAGAGAGAGAGAGACCCGAAGGGAGGAGAGAGAGAGAGAAAACCGCCUGACCCGCCGUCCGUAAGCCAAGCUGCCACCGUCUCCGCAGCAGCACCGCCAGCAAGCCGUCGUCUCCGCCGUGCCAGG